RNAcentral lists this transfer RNA (66 nucleotides) under Aspidoscelis gularis. Its description in RNAcentral is "tRNA-Arg". The record is from RNAcentral. Lineage: Eukaryota; Metazoa; Chordata; Lepidosauria; Squamata; Teiidae.
AGGGCUAGUUUAACGCAAAACAAAUGAUUUCGACUCAUUAAAUUUCAAUCACCGAAGCCUGCUACA